RNAcentral lists this ribosomal RNA (253 nucleotides) under uncultured bacterium. RNAcentral describes it as "partial 16S ribosomal RNA". It matches the Rfam family "Bacterial small subunit ribosomal RNA", at positions 524 to 776 of the family's 1533-position model. The record is from RNAcentral.
UACGAGGGGGGCGAGCGUUGUUCGGAAUUAUUGGGCGUAAAGGGCGCGUAGGCGGUCGGAUAAGUCUUGUGUGAAAUCUUCGGGCUCAACUCGAAGUCUGCACAGGAAACUAUCUGGCUUGAGUGUGGGAGAGGUGAGUGGAAUUCCUGGUGUAGCGGUGAAAUGCGUAGAUAUCAAGAGGAACACCAGUGGCGAAGGCGAGUCCCUGGACAACACCUGACACUGAGGCACGAAAGCUAGGGGAGCAAACAGG